RNAcentral lists this transfer RNA (80 nucleotides) under Rubripirellula reticaptiva. Its description in RNAcentral is "Planctomycetes bacterium Poly59 tRNA-Arg". Lineage: Bacteria; Pseudomonadati; Planctomycetota; Planctomycetia; Pirellulales; Pirellulaceae. The record is from RNAcentral.
UCGCGUUAGCCAGGCGCCGCGCAGCGCUUUACGGUAACGCUUGAUCCUUGCCUCGCGUUGUUCGACCCAUCGCACUCGGC